UGAAAGGAAAAUACAGAAAAGGGGCGCUGGGAACAACAAUGGAGGCAGCAACGAGAUAUUUUCAGUUUGAAAAAAAAAAAAUACCAAGCCAUACAUAGAUGCAAUUUCACGGAGGUAGCACCUAAAUGAAACAAAUUUUCGUUCCUUGUGAUUACACGUAGCCAACACACUGUGUUUACAGCAGCAUGAUCAAGAAAUUCAUGAGAUCAAUUUUAAUUCUUUCUUUUUAAUUAUUUUUCUCGGGAAUAAUAUUCGGGUUUGUUCACCGGUUGGAUCUCGUUAUUCCAUUUUAUCGCGUUGUUGGAUCCGGGCUUUCUUGGAAGUGAAGUAAGGCAGAAGAAAAUUAUUUCUUGGCACAUGAGAUUGGUGAAGUCCAAGACCUAAGUUAUGGUUAACUUGAGAAGCGACAAGGUACAGACGCACAGUUUGGUGAUCCACCAGUUUAGGACACCCUCUUCUGCUGUUUGGAGUGCUCCUCUUAUUCCGGAGCCUACAUUUUGGUAUAUAUACUUGUUUGAUGCACAUGUAUAUAUAUUUGUUCAGGGGUACGGCGGGGCCCUAUCCCGCCAUAUGAUCCGUUUGGUCUGCUUAGAGGUCUGUAGACGUAUUUGUGGGUGUGUGUGCCUACUUCUGUUCAGAUGUGUUUGUAUGAUCCUAUUCGCUAUGGCAGCCUUGUCGGCGUGCAUUUUGUAUAUGUUUUGGGGCCGUUGUGCCAUUUGUUA
This is a long non-coding RNA of Lycium barbarum (goji berry), 722 nucleotides long. RefSeq lists it as uncharacterized. Lineage: Eukaryota; Viridiplantae; Streptophyta; Magnoliopsida; Solanales; Solanaceae. The transcript has 3 exons. The record is from RefSeq and is a predicted model, not a curated record.